Molecule: long non-coding RNA, 546 nt
Filed under: Coturnix japonica (Japanese quail)
Lineage: Eukaryota; Metazoa; Chordata; Aves; Galliformes; Phasianidae
Description: lncRNA (ENSCJPG00005010198.1)
Source: RNAcentral
UGGAAUCUGACAGGAAGAUCUCAAGGUUUAGUGCAAUAUUAAUUUCUUUUUUAAAGCUGAAGCCGUCUGAAAACAAAUAUGGAUUUGAAUGAUAUGUGAAGUAGCCAAAUACCUAUCCUGAAAGCAUUCCAGUCAGUAUGUUUUCAAGGGAACGCAUACACAGAUUGAACCAAUGGAGAAAGUAACAAGCUAGAAUCAGUGCAACUGGAAAACUUCAUAUGCUCUUGAUGUUUUCAGGAAUAUGAGAAUCUGCAUUAGUAGCCUUGAAUAAAGUCAGAAGCAAAAAAGCUGAGCUAUUCAGUAGUGACACCAUGCACUGUAAAUGGAAAACAGAUAUGAAAAUGAAGUCCAUCCGGAGAUACAAGAAAGUAAAGAAACAAGUGAUUUUCAGGUCACUGAUGAGUGCUUGACCUGUGAGGGGAAAAUGCAUAUCUUCAGGUCACUAGCUUUCAGAUGAGGCCAUCUGCUUCAAAUUGGUGGGAAAAAAAUGGCAGUCUCCUGCUGAAAAUUAAUAAAUUGAUUCAGACAUGCUCCGGAAAUUGUACU